Molecule: ribosomal RNA, 546 nt
Filed under: Rhodotorula mucilaginosa
Lineage: Eukaryota; Fungi; Basidiomycota; Microbotryomycetes; Sporidiobolales; Sporidiobolaceae
Description: eukaryotic LSU rRNA
Rfam family: 5.8S ribosomal RNA (bases 123-276)
Source: RNAcentral
UCCGAACUCUCACUUUCUAACCCUGUGCACUUGUUUGGGAUAGUAACUCUCGCAAGAGAGCGAACUCCUAUUCACUUAUAAACACAAAGUCUAUGAAUGUAUUAAAUUUUAUAACAAAAUAAAACUUUCAACAACGGAUCUCUUGGCUCUCGCAUCGAUGAAGAACGCAGCGAAAUGCGAUAAGUAAUGUGAAUUGCAGAAUUCAGUGAAUCAUCGAAUCUUUGAACGCACCUUGCGCUCCAUGGUAUUCCGUGGAGCAUGCCUGUUUGAGUGUCAUGAAUACUUCAACCCUCCUCUUUCUUAAUGAUUGAAGAGGUGUUUGGUUUCUGAGCGCUGCUGGCCUUUACGGUCUAGCUCGUUCGUAAUGCAUUAGCAUCCGCAAUCGAACUUCGGAUUGACUUGGCGUAAUAGACUAUUCGCUGAGGAAUUCUAGUCUUCGGAUUAGAGCCGGGUUGGGUUAAAGGAAGCUUCUAAUCAGAAUGUCUACAUUUUAAGAUUAGAUCUCAAAUCAGGUAGGACUACCCGCUGAACUUAAGCAUAUCAAUA